This 434-nucleotide ribosomal RNA is filed under the name Lacticaseibacillus casei. RNAcentral describes it as "bacterial SSU rRNA". It matches the Rfam family "Bacterial small subunit ribosomal RNA", at positions 369 to 797 of the family's 1533-position model. The record is from RNAcentral. Lineage: Bacteria; Bacillati; Bacillota; Bacilli; Lactobacillales; Lactobacillaceae.
CAAUGGACGCAGUCUGAUGGAGCACGCCGCGUGAGUGAAGAAGGCUUUCGGGUCGUAAAACUCUGUUGUUGGAGAAGAAUGGUCGGCAGAGUAACUGUUGUCGGCGUGACGGUAUCCAACCAGAAAGCCACGGCUAACUACGUGCCAGCAGCCGCGGUAAUACGUAGGUGGCAAGCGUUAUCCGGAUUUAUUGGGCGUAAAGCGAGCGCAGGCGGUUUUUUAAGUCUGAUGUGAAAGCCCUCGGCUUAACCGAGGAAGCGCAUCGGAAACUGGGAAACUUGAGUGCAGAAGAGGACAGUGGAACUCCAUGUGUAGCGGUGAAAUGCGUAGAUAUAUGGAAGAACACCAGUGGCGAAGGCGGCUGUCUGGUCUGUAACUGACGCUGAGGCUCGAAAGCAUGGGUAGCGAACAGGAUAGAUACCUGGGUUAGUCCA